Molecule: ribosomal RNA, 1371 nt
Filed under: Triticum aestivum (bread wheat)
Lineage: Eukaryota; Viridiplantae; Streptophyta; Magnoliopsida; Poales; Poaceae
Description: partial small subunit ribosomal RNA
Source: RNAcentral
AUGGCGGCGGAGGAGGAGGCUGCCGCGCCCGCACCCAAGAGGAGCGCAUCCGAUGAAGCGGCCGGGCCCAGAUCACAGAAACAGGCACGUGAUAGCUUCUGCGACGGCAACGCCAUCAGCCAUGGCGAUCUCAUCAGCGACCUUCCCGACGCCAUCCUCGGCACCAUCAUCUCCUUGCUCCCCAUCAAGGACGGUGCCCGCAUGCAGGCCAUCGCCCGGCGAUGGUGUCCCCUAUGGCGCUCCUCGCCUCUCAACCUCGACGUCCCGUACCACCUCAUCGACGGGGUCGAGCGUCUCUCCGCCAUCUGCAGGAUCCUGUCGAACCACCCUGGCCCAGCAUGCCGCUUUGACGUCUGCCUCAUCAGCCUCCGCAGCGAAAAAAGGCACGACGAAGACACCGCGCAGAUCGAGGGCUGGUUCCAUUCCCGAGCCCUUGACAACCUUCAGGAGCUCCACAUCAGCUUCAUGCCUUGGAAUACACGCAAGGACUGCCCGCUGCCGUUGUCUGUGCUCCGCUCAGCAUCGACCCUGCUCUUGGUCAGCAUUGGAUCCUGCGAUUUCCCGAGGGAGAUGGCACCUUCGCUGAGUUUCCCCCUCCUCAAGCAGCUCAAGCUGUGGAGCGUUUCCAUCUCCGAGGAUGUCUUCUCGAGGGUGCUCUCUAGCUGCCAUGUCUUGGAGAGCUUACAUUUGUCGAGGAUUCUUGAGGGGUCUUGCCUUUGCAUUAGUCCACCAACUCUUAGGAUCAUCGUCACCCUUCGUUUGUUCGAAGGCAAAGGAAAAUUGGUCAUUAAGGAGGCCCCUCAUCUUGAAAGGCUGCUAUUGCAUUCUCCAGGCUUAGGCGUCGAGGCUAUCCAGGUAGUUAGGGCACCUAAACUGGAGAUACUGGGCCUUUUGUCUCCCUGCGUGUUACAAAUUCAGAUCAACAAUCUAGUCUUCCAGGGAUUAAUCCCAUCGAGCUUGGAAAACCCAAUACGCAGUGUAAAGGUUUUGGCUCUCCAGUUCUGUGGCCCUGAUUUGAACGCGGUUCUUGGAAUCCUGAGAUGCUUCCCCUACUUGGAAAAGGUCUAUGUCAUUUGGGACGAACGUGUAAAGGCAAAGAUGAAAAAUGUGUGUCAGUAUAACCCACUCGAUCCAAUCAAAUGCCUUGAGAGCCAUCUCAAAGUACUGGUGUUGAAGAAUUAUGAAGGUGGUGAGGAAGAGAUUGACUUUGUCAAGUUCUUUGUUUUGAAUGCUAAAGUGGUGAAGGAAAUCAAAUUUGCACUGUCUAAGAAGAUUCGCAUCAAUGAGAAAUGGAUGACCGAUCAACUCAGUCUACUAAAAGUGGAAAAUAGAUCUUCUCAAGAGGCUCAACUGGAAUUCAGAAGUGGUUAA